RNAcentral lists this ribosomal RNA (431 nucleotides) under uncultured bacterium. RNAcentral describes it as "bacterial SSU rRNA". It matches the Rfam family "Bacterial small subunit ribosomal RNA", at positions 9 to 428 of the family's 1533-position model. The record is from RNAcentral.
GAGUUGAUCGUGGCUCAGGAUGAACGCUGGCGGCGUGCCUAACACAUGCAAGUCGAACGGGUUAUUUGGAAGUUCCUUCGGGGACUGGAAUCUAUAACCUAGUGGCGGACGGGUGAGUAACGCGUGAGCAAUCUGCCUUUAGGAGGGGAUAACAGUCGGAAACGGCUGCUAAUACCGCAUAAUACGUUUGGGAGGCAUCUCCCUAACGUCAAAGAUUUUAUCGCCUUUAGAUGAGCUCGCGUCUGAUUAGCUAGUUGGCGGGUAACGGCCCACCAAGGCGACGAUCAGUAGCCGGACUGAGAGGUUGAACGGCCACACUGGGACUGAGACACGGCCCAGACUCCUACGGGAGGCAGCAGUGGGAAUAUUGCGCAAUGGGGGCAACCCUGACGCAGCAACGCCGCGUGAUUGAAGAAGGCCUUCGGUUGUAA